ACAGGCAUGCCCAGCAUGGAGAGAUGUGAUGUAAGUGCCAUUGACGGUUGUUAAGAGAGUUUAAUGCGUUUGAGUUUGGCAUAGACCUUGACUUUCUGCUUGCCCUCAGGUGACAACACAGGCAGUUUAUCAUUCUCAGACAUCAAGCUUGUUCUACUCAACCCCUCAGAAGUCAAGUUGAGUGCCGCAGAAGAAGUGGCUUUGCUUUUUAGCCCAUCUUGGCAAUUGUCUGGAAGAGUCAGAUGACAGCAUGAGGCUGGGCAGAGUUCCAGGGGUCAGUUGGGCAAAGCACUGGUGCCAGUGGUUGGAAGGAUGCCUAGCUUCUGCUGACCAUAGUUCUUCCUGGAUGACAACUGGGAAGACAGCCACCCCCUGUUCCAACAGUGAAGGAGAGUCCUCCUGAGGACAUCUAUUCAUCUGCACUGAACACAAUUUCCACGUGACUUCCAAGUACUUUAGACCAAGCAAGCCACCAUUCUUAACUACUGAUAUGAAAUGCAUCCAAACUCACAUAUCGGCAAGGCUGCAGAAGAUUCUCCUAGAUGGCUCAAUGCCUGUGCCGUCUUCAUCGUGUGUGUGUGUGUGUGUGUGUGUGUGUGUGUGUGUGUGUGUGUGUGUGUGUAUGUACACACGUGCCUUCUCCACCUCACCCAUACCUCUACUCAAUGAUUUCCUGUGCCUUUCCCUAGCCACGCCCACCAAACCUUUCCUAUCCCUAAACUAAUGACAGCAUUUAGCUUUUUUUUUUUUUUUUGGUUUCUGUGUUUCACACUAACCAUUCCAAGUGCUGCUGGCCCUCAAAAUCUGUCAUUCUUUUAAGUGGAGACAUAGGUAAGGUGUUGUGAAAGUGGUAGGAGAAAGAAUUAUAAAAUCCCGUCCCAGGAGUGACAGCAGACGAGAGCAAACACCCCCUUAACAAGGACCCCACACUGGUGAUAUUGGCCUCAGUCAAUUUGUGUAGGCACACAGCUCAUGGGCUUCUCCCCUCUUCAAGGUCUUCACACCGUCCCAUUGGGAAGUAACACAGACUGGUGGACCCAUCCAAACCCAGAAGUGGGGAUGAGGAGAAACAGAAAUGUUAAUCACAUUGUUAAUGAGAAUGUAAAUUGAUGUCGUCCACCAUAGGAAAAAAGACUUGUCAGUUAUUAAAAAUUCAAACACAGAAUGAGCCAUAUAAACAACCCAGCAUUUCCACACCUGGGGAUGUUCCCAGGAGAACUGACGACAGGCACUCAAGGACUUACCUGUGAGUGUUUAUAAUAGCAUCCAUUAUAAGAGGCGAAUAGGAAACAACCCAAGAUAUGACUGAAUGUAUGAAAUGUGCUUUGACUCACAAGGGAUUGUUAAAUCUGAAAAGGAACGAAGCGUAAGUACACACUACCACAUGGAUGAACCUUGAAAACAUGCCAGUAAGGUACACUUCAUCCACUUUUACAAGUCUCAGCAGCUCUGCACAGACAGAAGGUAGACGAAUGAUCGCAAGACAGUAGGAGAAAUAGGAAGGGAAGAGACUACGGAGACAAUGGCUUCUCUUAGAAGCGCUGGGAGUGUUCUAGAACCAGACAGAGACAAGAACAGAACAGGACAUCCUGUAGGUACUGGGAACUCUUCUACUAAUACACACUUGAAAAUGAUGAGUGUUAUUUUUAUGAUGAUUUACUUUUUUAAAAGCAUAUUAUAAAAUGGAUGAUUUUUGGAGAGAAAGUCUUACCAUGUAGCCCAGGCUGGUUUGAACUUGCAGCAAUCCUCCUGCCUCAGCCUCCCUAGGGAUGGGACUGCAGCAUAUGGUGCGCCAAUGUCAGCAAAUGGAUUUUAAAGAGGUCAGAGGACAGUUCGUGAACUACAUUCAGAGAGUAGGAGAAAUGUGAGCAAGACCAGGCGGAGAAGCUGAGUGACGAGAGCAUGAUGAGCAAGGCCAGUCGGAGAAGCCGAGUGCCGAGAGCAUGAUGGGAUAAGUUGGUCCUAGUGCAUGAGCCUCCCAACUCACAGACCGAGAGCAUGAUGGGAUAAGUUGGUCCUAGCGCAUGAGCUUCCUAACCCACAGAGGCUGCAUCCUGAAAAAAGAGCAGAUCACCGAAGAGAAAGGUCAGGGCAGAGAGAACAUCUUGUCUUGUGCAUCAGAAUUCAGAGGGCUAGAUCAACGUUAGAACAGCCAAGAGCAUCAAAGGGAACAAUGGGGAGAAGACUCUGCUACGUCAGCCCCUGGGUCUGUCGUAUCCUUGGACUUUAAGAGGACUCAUCCAUUCAAUCCUCUCUGAUGCACAGGUGGGAGGUGCCCACCAAGGCCACAACAGCAACAUGGAACCUCUGCGACUAGAGCCACCUAAUAUCAGGGCUGGGAACUGAACUUGGGUCCUCUGGAAGGGCAGUGCCACUUCUCAGCAUGAUACUGACUCCACGUAAUCGUCCAAGGUGACUCAGCUCUUGCGAGACAAAACAGGAUCCAGACCUUCUGCUUGUACCGGGCUUCAUCUGAGGCUUGGAUGUGGGGACUGUCACUCUGCUCCUCCUGCUCAGCUGGCCUUUAUUGGUCUUCUUCUGUGUUGUGAUUUGAAUCUCGAGAUGUUUCCAGAAGGCUCACAUGCUUAGAGACUUCACUACCAAACACUGCGUGCAUGAGAGGUGGUUAGGUCACGAGGGAUCUAACUUCAUCCAUAGAUUUAACCUGUUGGUGAGUCCGUAGCCGAGUGGACCGGAAGAAGGUGGGAAGAAACAUGCCGCUGGAGAUGGAACUUUGAAAGAUCUAUCACAUGCCUGGCCUCUUCUGUCUCUGCUUCUGGGAUGCCGUGACGUAAAGCAGUUGUCUUUCACUGCACCCUUCUGCCAUGAUGGCUCCACCUCGUCCAAUAGCAAUAGACAGAACCACACCCCUAAACUUUUGAAACUGCACCAAAA
Molecule: non-coding RNA, 2895 nt
Organism: Rattus norvegicus (Norway rat)
Lineage: Eukaryota; Metazoa; Chordata; Mammalia; Rodentia; Muridae
Source: RefSeq, a predicted model, not a curated record